CCUUGCCCAAGUGAAAUUCUGCCCUUGGAAUAUCGAUCAACUUAUUUGUGUUCUGGAAGCAUCUCAAAAAAUGCUUUCUAUUGAGACCCCAAGUAGCUCUUCCUUCUUUCUCAUGUUGGCUUAUCAAUUCAUUCAAAUCACCAAUUACCAACCAGGGCGUCCCAUCAUUCCAAUUUUUACUAUUCCAGGAAUCCCAAAACUUUUCCUUAUCAGCAAAAUAGGGUGGACCAUAAAGCCAAGUGAUCCUGAAGCGUGAUGAGCCAGUCUUGGUUACCACAGUAUCAACGAAAUGCAUUGAGUAAUCCAAGAUACUCACGGAAAAUUCAGAGAGAAAAACAAAAGCUGGGCUGUGGGAGCGGGUAACCUCCCUUAAGGUUUGUACUGUCAAUGGCUUCCCCAAGCCUUGACAGUUCCAGGAAAUGUAAUUCAUUGGUUCCUUGCAGCUGAAUUCGGCCAGCCGCCACAGCCCUGGAGGUGGGUUACGUCCUCCAUACCUUCUUCCACAAUAGCUACUGCCACAUGAGUAUUUUCAGCUGUGGGUGCUGGGUAGGACUCAUCGAGUAAACCAGAGAUAAACUCAGCCGACACCGGUAGACUUCCUCUCCCUUUUCCUUUUCCUCCUUUGUUCCCCCUGGUUCUUUUUCUUCCUCUGUUCUUUAUUUCGAACAAAGUGUCCUUCAUAUCAUUACCAGCAUUUGUUUUCAUAACCACCAACGAAGUCAAUGAUCUAGUCAAGGAGUUUACACCUUUCGACGAAAACACAAAGAAGACGAAGAAGUUUGCACCUUGCUGCCCAUGAAUUCUGGAAUGAAGGUGGUUUCAUGCAAAUGAUUGUAUAUGUUAAAUUUCAAGUGGCUCCUAAUUUGCUACAUAAUUUUCGGGUACCGUCGUUGGAUGCCUCUCAAUGUUGUUGAAUCAAUCAAUUCCUGAAUAUUUUAUUUCUUUGAUUCUCUUUACAAAAGAGAGAGAUGGGAAAGUUCAUGCAAUCAUAGGAUUAUUUUCGAAUCUUUUUUCCCCAUAGUAA
Molecule: long non-coding RNA, 1024 nt
Organism: Rosa chinensis
Lineage: Eukaryota; Viridiplantae; Streptophyta; Magnoliopsida; Rosales; Rosaceae
Exons: 2
Source: RefSeq, a predicted model, not a curated record